GACGAACGCUGGCGGCGUGCUUAACACAUGCAAGUCGAGCGAUGAAAUCUUAACAGAACCCUUCGGGGUGAAGAUAAGACGGAUUAGCGGCGGACGGGUGAGUAACACGUGAGUAACCUGCCUUUUACACAGGGAUAGCCCCAGGAAACCGGGAUUAAAACCUGAUGAAACUAUCAAAUCACAAGAUGAAGAAAGUUAAAACUCCGGUGGUAAAAGAUGGACACGCGUCACUUUAGCUAGUUGGUGAUGGUAACGGCCCACCAAGGCAACGAUGGUUAGCCGGCCUGAGAGGGUGAACGGCCACAUUGGAACUGAGAAACGGUCCAAACUCCUACGGGAGGCAGCAGUGGGGAAUAUUGCACAAUGGGGGAAACCCUGAUGCAGCGACGCCGCGUGAGCGAGGAAGGCCUUCGGGUCGUAAAGCUCUUUUAUAUGGGAAGAUAAUGACGGUACCAAAAGAAAAAGCCCCGGCUAACUACGUG
This 482-nucleotide ribosomal RNA is filed under the name uncultured bacterium. RNAcentral describes it as "partial 16S ribosomal RNA". It matches the Rfam family "Bacterial small subunit ribosomal RNA", at positions 28 to 507 of the family's 1533-position model. The record is from RNAcentral.